GGGAGUGUAGCUCAGUGGUAGAGUGCUUGUCUUGAAUACACAUGGCCCUGGAAUCAGUCUCCAGUAUCACCA
Molecule: transfer RNA, 72 nt
Filed under: Heterocephalus glaber (naked mole-rat)
Lineage: Eukaryota; Metazoa; Chordata; Mammalia; Rodentia; Bathyergidae
Rfam family: tRNA
About the family: Transfer RNA (tRNA) molecules are approximately 80 nucleotides in length. Their secondary structure includes four short double-helical elements and three loops (D, anti-codon, and T loops).
Source: Rfam by way of RNAcentral